Molecule: long non-coding RNA, 534 nt
Filed under: Drosophila guanche
Lineage: Eukaryota; Metazoa; Arthropoda; Insecta; Diptera; Drosophilidae
Source: RNAcentral
GACAGAUAUAGAAAAAAUGUAAAAUUUGACAAAUAACCGCUAAGGUGCAGAUGUAGUCCUGAGUGCCGGGUAUAAAAGUUUUGACGCGUAAGAAGCGUCUCAACCGUCCCUUCUCGUUUUUGUUUAGACAAUUGUUAUUGCUAUUCGAUCGGUUGCUUUUUUUUGCUUUGACUCAUCGACUCAUUGCCCUUUGGCACUCACCGUUUUCGCGCAUAAUCCGUUGCCCUGCCUACUCACUCUCUGGAUUUCACGCGAGCUGCACUUCGGCUCUCACUCUCACCAUACGACGCCUGCAUUCUUCGAUUAUGGACUAAUAUCUCGGCGUCUCUGCUUUGCUUUAUUGGAGUUCGCCGUUAGCUUUCGUCACUUCGCUGCGCCGUCUGCCCUGUGUAUAUGUACAUACGUACAUACAUAACUGCUGAUCAUCGUGCUCGUUCUGCUGCCUGGUCAAUCAUCUAGCUUGUGCUCUCAGUGCGUCUUUUUUCUCGCUGUGCACAGUGACCCAACAGCUGUUGAAAAUGGCUCUUAUCUGCA